GGUGACGUACCCAAGUGGUAAGGGACGGCUCUGCAAAAGCCCUAUUCCUCGGUUCGAAUCCGAGCGUUACCU
RNAcentral lists this transfer RNA (72 nucleotides) under Fibrobacteraceae bacterium. Its description in RNAcentral is "tRNA-Cys". It matches the Rfam family "tRNA". From Rfam's summary of the family: Transfer RNA (tRNA) molecules are approximately 80 nucleotides in length. Their secondary structure includes four short double-helical elements and three loops (D, anti-codon, and T loops). Lineage: Bacteria; Pseudomonadati; Fibrobacterota; Fibrobacteria; Fibrobacterales; Fibrobacteraceae. The record is from RNAcentral.